This 60-nucleotide transfer RNA is filed under the name Paranurophorus simplex. RNAcentral's name for it is "tRNA-Arg". The record is from RNAcentral. Lineage: Eukaryota; Metazoa; Arthropoda; Collembola; Entomobryomorpha; Isotomidae.
AAGUAAGAAGUGAACUAUCGCAGUCAGUUUCGACCUGAAUUUUGGGCUAACCCUUAUUUU